This is a small nuclear RNA of Lupinus angustifolius (narrow-leaved blue lupine), 108 nucleotides long. NCBI's taxonomy places the organism in Eukaryota, Viridiplantae, Streptophyta, Magnoliopsida, Fabales, Fabaceae. The record is from Rfam.
UUUAUUUCCCUUUCAAUGAUAUUCGGUAAAAUUGGAACAAUGCAGAGAAGAGUUGCAUAGAUCCAACAAAAGGAUGGCAUCCACAACAUACAUAAAGAUAAUAAAUAU